Molecule: ribosomal RNA, 465 nt
Filed under: uncultured bacterium
Lineage: Bacteria
Description: partial 16S ribosomal RNA
Rfam family: Bacterial small subunit ribosomal RNA
Source: RNAcentral
GAUGAACGCUGGCGGCGUGCUUAACACAUGCAAGUCGAACGGAAAGGCUCCUGCUUGCAGGGGUACUCGAGUGGCGAACGGGUGAGUAACACGUGGGUGAUCUGCCCUGCACUUCGGGAUAAGCCUGGGAAACUGGGUCUAAUACCGGAUAGGACGAUGGUUUGGAUGCCAUUGUGGAAAGUUUUUCGGUGUGGGAUGAGCUCGCGGCCUAUCAGCUUGUUGGUGGGGUAAUGGCCUACCAAGGCGUCGACGGGUAGCCGGCCUGAGAGGGUGUACGGCCACAUUGGGACUGAGAUACGGCCCAGACUCCUACGGGAGGCAGCAGUGGGGAAUAUUGCACAAUGGGCGCAAGCCUGAUGCAGCGACGCCGCGUGGGGGAUGACGGCCUUCGGGUUGUAAACUCCUUUCGCUAGGGAGGAAGCGCAAGUGACGGUACCUGGAGAAGAAGCACCGGCUAACUACGUG